GGAGGAUCCAAGCGUUAUCCGGAAUCAUUGGGUUUAAAGGGUCCGUAGGCGGUUUGGUAAGUCAGUGGUGAAAGCCCAUCGCUCAACGGUGGAACGGCCAUUGAUACUGCCAGACUUGAAUUAUUAGGAAGUAACUAGAAUAUGUAGUGUAGCGGUGAAAUGCUUAGAGAUUACAUGGAAUACCAAUUGCGAAGGCAGGUUACUACUAAUUGAUUGACGCUGAUGGACGAAAGCGUGGGUAGCGAACAGGAUUAGAUACCCUGGUAGUCCACGCCGUAAACGAUGGAUACUAGCUGUUGGGAGCAAUCUCAGUGGCUAAGCGAAAGUGAUAAGUAUCCCACCUGGGGAGUACGUUC
This 356-nucleotide ribosomal RNA is filed under the name uncultured organism. RNAcentral describes it as "bacterial SSU rRNA". It matches the Rfam family "Bacterial small subunit ribosomal RNA", at positions 527 to 887 of the family's 1533-position model. The record is from RNAcentral.